CCGGAGCUAACGCGUUAAGUCGACCGCCUGGGGAGUACGGCCGCAAGGUUAAAACUCAAAUGAAUUGACGGGGGCCCGCACAAGCGGUGGAGCAUGUGGUUUAAUUCGAUGCAACGCGAAGAACCUUACCUGGUCUUGACAUCCACGGAAGUUUUCAGAGAUGAGAAUGUGCCUUCGGGAACCGUGAGACAGGUGCUGCAUGGCUGUCGUCAGCUCGUGUUGUGAAAUGUUGGGUUAAGUCCCGCAACGAGCGCAACCCUUAUCCUUUGUUGCCAGCGGUCCGGCCGGGAACUCAAAGGAGACUGCCAGUGAUAAACUGGAGGAAGGUG
Molecule: ribosomal RNA, 329 nt
Filed under: Escherichia coli
Lineage: Bacteria; Pseudomonadati; Pseudomonadota; Gammaproteobacteria; Enterobacterales; Enterobacteriaceae
Description: bacterial SSU rRNA
Rfam family: Bacterial small subunit ribosomal RNA
Source: RNAcentral